Molecule: long non-coding RNA, 302 nt
Organism: Mastomys coucha (southern multimammate mouse)
Lineage: Eukaryota; Metazoa; Chordata; Mammalia; Rodentia; Muridae
Exons: 3
Source: RefSeq, a predicted model, not a curated record
GUCCCAUGGUCACUGGAGAACGCUCUACUCCCAGUUGCUCUAGCAGGAUCCGGAUCUAAGGAUCAGGGGGCAGAUGAAUGCAAUACAAACUAUCAGGAGCAUAAGAAGAUGUAGCCAAAAAUCUCUGCUACAUGAAGAAUGGGAACUAAGAAACAUCAAACAGUGCAUAUACAAAGAAAUGACCUUGAAAGCUUCAGAGUUGGCUUCAAAUGUAAUUCAAUACAUAGAGGAGAUCUGAGAAGAAUAAAUGUUAUUGAAUAUCACAAAUAGUGUAGAAAUGAAAAAUCCCUACAGAUUAUUUU